CUGUUGUUUGUGAGCCGCGUAGUUCUCUUCUUUCUCAUGCUCCUGUUAGCCUGCAAUUGUCCAUAUCAAAAAUGUUGUUUUCUUUUAACUGUCUUUCUUUUGAACCUCUAAAUCUCUCGUGUUGCUAACCUAUCUACACCAG
This is a long non-coding RNA of Syngnathus acus (greater pipefish), 142 nucleotides long. RefSeq lists it as uncharacterized. The transcript has 3 exons. The record is from RefSeq and is a predicted model, not a curated record. Lineage: Eukaryota; Metazoa; Chordata; Actinopteri; Syngnathiformes; Syngnathidae.